Molecule: non-coding RNA, 31 nt
Filed under: Homo sapiens (human)
Lineage: Eukaryota; Metazoa; Chordata; Mammalia; Primates; Hominidae
Source: RNAcentral
CCCCUCAGCAUCAGGAGCCCACAUUGAGUGU